UACGGGGGGGGCAAGCGUUGUUCGGAAUUACUGGGCGUAAAGGGCUCGUAGGCGGCCAACUAAGUCGGACGUGAAAUCCCUCGGCUUAACCGGGGAACUGCGUCUGAUACUGGAUGGCUUGAGUUUGGGAGAGGGAUGCGGAAUUCCAGGUGUAGCGGUGAAAUGCGUAGAUAUCUGGAGGAACACCGGUGGCGAAGGCGGCAUCCUGGACCAACACUGACGCUGAGGAGCGAAAGCCAGGGGAGCAAACGGG
Molecule: ribosomal RNA, 253 nt
Filed under: uncultured bacterium
Lineage: Bacteria
Description: partial 16S ribosomal RNA
Rfam family: Bacterial small subunit ribosomal RNA
Source: RNAcentral